This is a long non-coding RNA of Microcebus murinus (gray mouse lemur), 434 nucleotides long. RefSeq lists it as uncharacterized. NCBI's taxonomy places the organism in Eukaryota, Metazoa, Chordata, Mammalia, Primates, Cheirogaleidae. The record is from RefSeq and is a predicted model, not a curated record.
UCUCCCACACAGCAACCUGCAAGUCCAGAGCGUGGGAAACCAGCAAGUUGAGAGAGGACCCAGAAGUAAUGCCUUCUAAAAUGGGAAAGAUCCCGUCUCCUGAAAGGGAAGGAGGAAGUCAAUUGAACCGGACAGGAGAGGAUUUGCAUAUCUAUCUGUGACCUACAAUUUAGAGUGGAAAUGGCUCGACAAAAUUGACUGGAGGUCACGAGAUCAUCUGGAGAUAAGGUAGACCAAAACCACCAACUACAGUUAAACAACAAUAGCCCAAGGCCAAGACAUGUGACACCGGUCCCAGAGACCUGAGCCCAACCUUUAAAACCCCCCAGUUUAAAAAGCUCUGUAUUUCUGCUUAAAGGCAGGAUGGUGGUUUUUCUGAGAUGCUAAUCUGCUGCCCUCCUCAUUUUCUGGCAAAUUAAUAAACUUCUCUUUCC